GGUAUGGCCCAGUUGGCAUGGCACAGUGGUUGAAGUUCUAGAGGGGGUGUGGCUUAGAUUGGGACAAGAGUCUACGCAAGGAGUGUGGCUUGGAACAUUCAGGAGAUUGAGUUUGACUCUAAAGCAGGAAGGCUGACAGGGUGAUUCAGUAAUGGGCCACCCUUGGGGUGAGGGGCGUGGCCAGGGUUCUAGAUAGGGUGGGCCUUAGAAUGGGGCAUGCGUGAUGGUUUCAGAGGGUACAGCCUGCCCCAUCACCCCGCAAUGGAACAGUAAAGAAUAUAUGUUUCAAAGUUGGGCAGGUUUGGUAGUGGCUAGGGCCUAAGGGAUGUGUUUUGUUAGGGUUGGGGGGCAAUAUCCCUCACUAAGGCUAGGCCUGAGGGGGCCUAGGGAGAGCUGAGAGGUAUGGCUUGAAUGGUAAGCGGGGAUCCAGAGAAAGGCACCCACACAUACCCUUCCUUGCCCACCCCCACGAUGGCAGAGUUAGAUAAUCAGAGGACAGAGCUAAUGGCCUGUGGGGCCAGCCUACCCUUCUCCCCUUUUCUCCUACCUCCUCCCUCCCUCCACACCCCACCUGUCCUGGGAUGGUUGGAGAUCCGGUCUGGAGCCCCUAUCCUACACCUUCUGCUGUGUCUGUGAUGUCGGUAGUGCCUGUGACAGUGUGUUGCCAUUUUGUCUGGCUGUGGCCCUUCUCCUUCCCCUUCAGACCCCCCCCCCUUUUCCCUUGCCCUUCGGUAUUGUUUGAAGACUCCCUCCCAGAGGAAGAACACAUAUGAUUCAUUAUCUUCCCCUAAAUAAACUCCUCAAACACCUAGUA
Pipistrellus kuhlii (Kuhl's pipistrelle) is the source of this 814-nucleotide long non-coding RNA. RefSeq lists it as uncharacterized. The record is from RefSeq and is a predicted model, not a curated record. The transcript has 2 exons. NCBI's taxonomy places the organism in Eukaryota, Metazoa, Chordata, Mammalia, Chiroptera, Vespertilionidae.